CGGCGCCUGUAGUCUGUAACAGUAAAUAAGUUUUACUUGAGAAGGCCCUAUCGAUUUCUCAUGUUUUAGCAGGGCCAUGAGAAGAGAUUCAUCAUGCAAGACAGCAAGAAGACCUUUUAGUUCUUCUGAGUUGACUCAGUCAAUAACUCACUUUCAAGGCCUGAUUCGCCACGCAAUUCAGGUUCACCAGGCAGAGGCCGGCGGUCAAGAUCGUUGUCAAGGCCCCGUCGAAGUCGCUCCAGGAGUAUCAAUGGUUCUGGUGUGGCAUCGAAUCCUGGAAAUAACUUAUAGAUAACCGGAUUAUCAACUAGGAUCACAAGCAGUGAUCUUGAGAAGUAUUUUAACAGUGAAGGGAAGGUUUUGGAGUGUCAUCUGGUAACAGAUCCUGACACCAGAGAAUUUCGUGGAUUUGCUUUUGUUACCGUGGAAACCACUGAGGAUGCUGACCGUUGCAUCAAGUAUUUGAAUUGUUCAGUGCUUGAAGGACGACUGAUCACCAUGGAAAAGGUACUGCUCCCAUCAAUGGAUUUUGAAGAGAAAUAUGUAGGGGGGGGGGGGGGGGAUUGUUUACAUAUCGUUUUUUAUCUGAAGUUUUUUCUUCAGAAAAAUGUUCCUUGAUGAGUUUUGCCAGCAGGUCUGGUAUGUGCAACUCCAUCGAAUUCACAAUCUAAGGUCUUAGCAGUUGAAUCUAUUCCUUCACGAACUACGACAUGAGUUCUUCUGCAUCGACAUUUCAAUCUCAUCGAUUCAAAUUCAACUAUUUUGCAGAGGGUUAUAUGCCCUAUACUCCUAUGCCCUAUACCCUUCUGCCCAUGGUUCUUGAAACUUGAUUUGGAUUUCUCAUGGAAGCAAAUUGUUAUGACAAUCACCCAUCCCUGCUGUUUCUUUCCUGGUUGUUUGUAUCUCCAUGUACUCAUAUUGUAACUUGUUUUUUCGCAAGUGAUGCUUUUACAGCGAGGAACAUGCUGAAAUAUUGGAAAAAAACUGCUGUAGGAUAUGAACCAUUUAUGUGAAAUCUCAAUUGAAUUCUGAUAAAAACUGUUGGACGUGGAGAAUACAGAUGGCAGACCCAAACAAAUGCCUUUCACGCUGUAUAAACUGGCGGAAUUUCGGAGGGGGAAUGAAUGACCCACCAUGGAAGAAGCAUUCAUUUAUGAAAAUGAACCUUGUAUCAAUCUUGGCUCAUAUCCAAUUGAAUGCAGCCUGGCUGUAAGGAAACCUGCCCAUCAAUGGAGGAGCCACUGAUUGGUACUAUUGGAAUUCGCAGGACAAGAAUCAGUAGGGUAACUGUACAUCCCCAGGGAAGGAAGCAAAUGCUUUUUAUGCUCUCAGCUCUGCUUGACGUGCAUAUGUUCUUUGGGUUAGGUCUUAGGUGUAGCAUGCGCAUGCUUCGUUAAUUCUUCCAUGAGUUUUUAGCCAAAAGCCCAUUGCCUGUACUUUUCUUCUUUUUUUUUUUCUAUUUAUUUUCUAGAGUAUGUUAUUAAUGAUAAGAUAUGUAGACUUUUAUUUAUUUACUUUACUGUAAGAGUUGGAGUAUAGGAGGUUAGGCAUUAUAA
This is a long non-coding RNA of Populus trichocarpa (black cottonwood), 1556 nucleotides long. RefSeq lists it as uncharacterized. The transcript has 4 exons. Lineage: Eukaryota; Viridiplantae; Streptophyta; Magnoliopsida; Malpighiales; Salicaceae. The record is from RefSeq and is a predicted model, not a curated record.